This 354-nucleotide long non-coding RNA is filed under the name Medicago truncatula (barrel medic). RNAcentral's name for it is "long non-coding RNA (MTRU_LNC003947)". The record is from RNAcentral. Lineage: Eukaryota; Viridiplantae; Streptophyta; Magnoliopsida; Fabales; Fabaceae.
UGAAUUAUAUUGAUAACAAUAGAGUCAAAAGCUACGUGGGUUCACAGAUACAAUAGAUUCAUCUUGACUUAAUCAAAGAAAUUAGCUCGACAUAGCAAAUGAAUAAACAACACGAAUAAAAGAAAUUACAAACAUAGAUGUUUUGCUUUUCUUCGAUCCUUGUGCCUUCUAUUUCUUUGUGUAUGCGUAGCUUCCAUUUCCUGGUUCCUACCCUCCAAAACCGUGAUUCCUUUCUGCCGAAACGUGAAUGGCUCUUCUCCUGUACUCUGCGCCCCUUUAUAACAAUUGCCAAUCCUUCUUUUUAUUCUCGGGUCAACCAAGGCAAAUUUGGGUCAAAGGCCCAUUUCAUUAUUU